CCUACGGGGGGCUGCAGUGGGGAAUAUUGGACAAUGGGGGGAACCCUGAUCCAGCCAUGCCGCGUGUGUGAAGAAGGCCCUCGGGUUGUAAAGCACUUUUAGUGAGGAAGAACGCCUGGUGGUUAAUACCCAUCAGGAAAGACAUCACUCACAGAAGAAGCACCGGCUAACUCCGUGCCAGCAGCCGCGGUAAUACGGAGGGUGCGAGCGUUAAUCGGAAUUACUGGGCGUAAAGCGCGCGUAGGUGGCUUGAUAAGCCGGUUGUGAAAGCCCCGGGCUCAACCUGGGAACGGCAUCCGGAACUGUCAAGCUAGAGUGCAGGAGAGGAAGGUAGAAUUCCCGGUGUAGCGGUGAAAUGCGUAGAGAUCGGGAGGAAUACCAGUGGCGAAGGCGGCCUUCUGGACUGACACUGACACUGAGGUGCGAAAGCGUGGGUAGCAAACAGGAUUAGAUACCCCUGUAGUC
RNAcentral lists this ribosomal RNA (465 nucleotides) under Vreelandella stevensii. RNAcentral's name for it is "partial 16S ribosomal RNA". It matches the Rfam family "Bacterial small subunit ribosomal RNA", at positions 338 to 795 of the family's 1533-position model. Lineage: Bacteria; Pseudomonadati; Pseudomonadota; Gammaproteobacteria; Oceanospirillales; Halomonadaceae. The record is from RNAcentral.